GAUGAACGCUAGCGGCAGGCCUAACACAUGCAAGUCGAGGGAGAAGCCCUUCGGGGCAGAAACCGGCGCACGGGUGCGUAACGCGUAUGCAACCUACCUUUCACAGGGGGAUAGCCCGAAGAAAUUUGGAUUAAUACCCCAUAAUAUUAUUGGAUGGCAUCAUCUGAUAAUUAAAAUUACGAUGGUGGAAGAUGGGCAUGCGUCCUAUUAGCUAGUUGGAGUGGUAACGGCACCCCAAGGCUACGAUAGGUAGGGGUCCUGAGAGGGAGAUCCCCCACACUGGUACUGAGACAGGGACCAGACUCCUACGGGAGGCAGCAGUGAGGAAUAUUGGUCAAUGGUCGGAAGACUGAACCAGCCAUGCCGCGUGCAGGAAGAAUGCCUUAUGGGUUGUAAACUGCUUUUAUAUGGGAAGAAUAAGGCGUACGCGUACGUUGAUG
RNAcentral lists this ribosomal RNA (440 nucleotides) under Capnocytophaga granulosa. RNAcentral's name for it is "bacterial SSU rRNA". It matches the Rfam family "Bacterial small subunit ribosomal RNA", at positions 28 to 471 of the family's 1533-position model. The record is from RNAcentral. Lineage: Bacteria; Pseudomonadati; Bacteroidota; Flavobacteriia; Flavobacteriales; Flavobacteriaceae.